UAGCUAGUUUAAAGCAAAGGAUUGAUUCUAUUUUGGGGCAAGUUGGCUCAGAUGAUGCUGGAAUAAUUGGUAUAUGGGAUAUGGAGCUGUCUUUGGUACAUUCUGUAAACUUCCUAAUAGUUGACUGUAGUGUGGGUUCUGCUUGAUCUAAUUUGAGUUGCUGUCAUUGCUCAGGUCUGCAGCAUCUACCUGCAGUAUAAUCAUGGGUUUUUCCUUUAUGACACAAGGCAUUAACUCUGGGUUAAAUGUAGCUCCUUGUCUCCAACAGGUGUUUUUUGAACACUCUACUAAAUAGCAAAUGUAUUUUCAUCUCUUCCUCUUCCACCCAACAGCAUUUGCUCAAGACUAUUUCAUAUGAGGUGGAAAAUCCAGUCAACAGCAAUGUGUGAUAAGACAAAUCUCCAUGGAGCCUGGGAAAGCUUCUCCACGAAAACACACAUUUUGGUUGGGGGAAAACAGGGACUGUUAUUUUUAUCUGAACAGCAUGUGCUUUUGCAAAACGAUAAGGAAACUGAGUUACAAAGAAGUUGACUUUGCUUGUUUCUGCUGUUCCACAUGCCUGAAUUACCUUUCCAUGAUCCUUCCAGUCAUUCCUCAAGAUUUACACAGAGAAGGAAAGACAGAGAGAGACA
Ochotona curzoniae (black-lipped pika) is the source of this 632-nucleotide long non-coding RNA. RefSeq lists it as uncharacterized. The transcript has 4 exons. Lineage: Eukaryota; Metazoa; Chordata; Mammalia; Lagomorpha; Ochotonidae. The record is from RefSeq and is a predicted model, not a curated record.